Molecule: non-coding RNA, 78 nt
Organism: Salmo salar (Atlantic salmon)
Lineage: Eukaryota; Metazoa; Chordata; Actinopteri; Salmoniformes; Salmonidae
Source: Rfam
UGGCUCAGUUGGUAGAGCAUGGUGGUUGCAACGCCAGCAUGGUGUGUGCAACGCCAGGGCUGUGGGUUCGAUUCCCAC